RNAcentral lists this ribosomal RNA (253 nucleotides) under uncultured bacterium. Its description in RNAcentral is "partial 16S ribosomal RNA". It matches the Rfam family "Bacterial small subunit ribosomal RNA", at positions 524 to 776 of the family's 1533-position model. The record is from RNAcentral.
UACGGAGGGCGCAAGCGUUGUUCGGAUUCAUUGGGCGUAAAGGGUGCGUAGGCGGCUCGGUAAGUCGGGUGUGAAAUCUCGGAGCUUAACUCCGAAACUGCAUUCGAUACUGCCGUGCUUGAGUACUGGAGAGGAGACUGGAAUUUACGGUGUAGCGGUGAAAUGCGUAGAUAUCGUAAGGAAGACCAGUGGCGAAGGCGGGUCUCUGGACAGUUCCUGACGCUGAGGCACGAAGGUCAGGGGAGCAAACGGG